GUGUCUAUAGGCGCGGUGAACAGCGGAGUCAUGGUGGAUUCAGGAGAUGCUGGAAUCGAUUCUCAGAUCCCUUCUGUACUGUCCACGUUCAUGCCCUCAGGUCCUGUUGAUGUGGAUACACAGGCAUUUGCAAAUGAACAUUCUGAUACGUACCACGUAUACAGCUCAAUCCCCGACAGACCAGCAACCUCAGCCCAGCCGGCGGAUGGGUUGUACAGUCUUCUGCAGACAAACUGACACUACAACUCUAUGUCUCACACAAAUAAAAAAAUUCUCACACGACAUCUUUGUUUAUCACACAUCCAGAUACUGUAAAUAAGUUGCUUAACAGGUGAUAUUUCUUACUGUAUUACACAUGUUCAACUGGUUUCUGUGACAUGUCUAUCCAUAAAAAUCUGUUACCUGUGUUAAUUCUUAUUAUUAUUAUUUUUUUGGAGGGUCUGGGUCAUACUCCCCUUUGAGCAUUUUUCUUAUUUCUUCCCCCUAGUAAAUGCUAUCUACUGUAAUUAUGUUAUUAUAUUGACUGUGUGAUACCUCCUUCCAUAACGGUUGGAUACAAUUAAUUUCCUAUUGGGCAAAACAUAAUCCAAAACAAACUGCAAAUGCAUCCAACAGGUUCGUUUGAGUCAUAAGCUUGAUGUAUGUAUUGGGUGCAAGGAAUAUAGGACCAAAAUACAAAUGUGUG
Long non-coding RNA from Salvelinus sp. IW2-2015, 685 nucleotides. RefSeq lists it as uncharacterized. The record is from RefSeq and is a predicted model, not a curated record. NCBI's taxonomy places the organism in Eukaryota, Metazoa, Chordata, Actinopteri, Salmoniformes, Salmonidae.